RNAcentral lists this ribosomal RNA (68 nucleotides) under Zymoseptoria brevis. RNAcentral describes it as "5.8S ribosomal RNA". It matches the Rfam family "5.8S ribosomal RNA", at positions 87 to 154 of the family's 154-position model. Rfam says of the family: 5.8S ribosomal RNA (5.8S rRNA) is a component of the large subunit of the eukaryotic ribosome. It is transcribed by RNA polymerase I as part of the 45S precursor that also contains 18S and 28S rRNA. The record is from Rfam by way of RNAcentral. Lineage: Eukaryota; Fungi; Ascomycota; Dothideomycetes; Mycosphaerellales; Mycosphaerellaceae.
AAUCAUCGAAUCUUUGAACGCACAUUGCGCCCCCUGGUAUUCCGGGGGGCAUGCCCGUUCGAGCGUCA